This 325-nucleotide ribosomal RNA is filed under the name uncultured eukaryote. Its description in RNAcentral is "partial 18S ribosomal RNA". It matches the Rfam family "Eukaryotic small subunit ribosomal RNA", at positions 1470 to 1796 of the family's 1831-position model. The record is from RNAcentral.
CCCUUAGAUGUCCUGGGCCGCACGCGCGCUACACUGAUGCAUUCAACGAGCCUAUCCUUGACCGACAGGUCCGGGUAAUCUUUGAAUCUGCAUCGUGACGGGGAUAGAUUAUUGCAAUUAUUAAUCUUCAACGAGGAAUGCCUAGUAGGCGCAAGUCAUCAGCUUGCGUCGAUUACGUCCCUGCCCUUUGUGCACACCGCCCGUCGCUCCUACCGAUUGGGUGUGCUGGUGAAAUGUUCGGAUCGGCCGUUUGUCGCGGUUUCCGCGUCAUGUGGCUGAGAAGUUCAUUAAACCCUCCCACCUAGAGGAAGGAGAAGUCGUAACA